RNAcentral lists this long non-coding RNA (227 nucleotides) under Jatropha curcas. RNAcentral's name for it is "long non-coding RNA (JCUR_LNC001287)". The record is from RNAcentral. Lineage: Eukaryota; Viridiplantae; Streptophyta; Magnoliopsida; Malpighiales; Euphorbiaceae.
UGAUACCAUAUGUCACGCCCGACUCUAAUCACUAGAGGAAUUGUCCGCUUUGGAUCAAGCCAAAUCGCCCAUACAAGAUGGCAAGACCUGCACGGUUUUUGUCCCGCAGGUGAAAGGGAAGUUGAUCAAAUCAUUCGCUCCAUAGUCUGAUAGAUAACUGAUUAAUCGGACGAGAAUAAAGAUAGAGUCCCAUUCUACAUGUCAAUAUCGACAACAAGGAAAUUUAU